GCCUACGGGGGGCAGCAGUGGGGAAUAUUGCACAAUGGGGGAAACCCUGAUGCAGCAACGCCGCGUGAGUGAAGAAGUAUUUCGGUAUGUAAAGCUCUAUCAGCAGGGAAGAAGAAAGACGGUACCUGACUAAGAAGCCCCGGCUAACUACGCGCCAGCAGCCGCGGUAAUACGUAGGGGGCGAGCGUUAUCCGGAUUUACUGGGUGUAAAGGGAGCGUAGACGGCCAUGCAAGCUCGGUGUGAAAGGUGCGGGCACAACCCGCAGACUGCACUGAGAACUGUAUGGCUGGAGUGCCGGAGGGGG
Molecule: ribosomal RNA, 305 nt
Filed under: uncultured bacterium
Lineage: Bacteria
Description: bacterial SSU rRNA
Rfam family: Bacterial small subunit ribosomal RNA
Source: RNAcentral